GCUCCCGUAGUGUAGUUCGGUCAAGCACGUGAGCUUCUCGAGCUCGAAACCCGGGUCCAAAUCCCGGCGGGAGCA
This 75-nucleotide transfer RNA is filed under the name Candidatus Woesearchaeota archaeon. Its description in RNAcentral is "tRNA-Glu". It matches the Rfam family "tRNA". From Rfam's summary of the family: Transfer RNA (tRNA) molecules are approximately 80 nucleotides in length. Their secondary structure includes four short double-helical elements and three loops (D, anti-codon, and T loops). The record is from RNAcentral. Lineage: Archaea; Nanobdellati; Candidatus Woesearchaeota.